AGCCAUGCCAUGUGCCAGCAGCCCUGCUUCUGGCCCCGAUUUUUAAGAAGGGGAGGGGAAAAAAUAACAGAAGGAAAAAAGUGAACAUGAGUAAUGGGCCUGGAAUGAGGCAUACGAGAUAACACUGAAUAAUAACACGUCAAAAACUACAAGAUGUAUUUUUUUUAUUUCCCAGUGGAGUUUCCAUUGCGCUAAUCCAUCACUGUAGAGCAGGCAAGAUUAUGCUUCCCCAAAAAAACUCUGAGAGAUAAAUGUGCCUGUGGAUCCUUGCUUGGGAGUGAUGCAAGGGGGAAGAAUAGGGAAGGUGCAAAAGUCUAACCACCUCUUAUCCAGCAUCCUCAAGACAGGUCGGGUGGUCUACGCUCCCACCUCCAUCCAGAUAAGGAGGAUUGGUCCUGCUGUGGGCUUUGUGAGUGUGAAUUUGGAGAGGGCCCCAAGAUGCCCUGGAAGAGGCCAUGAUGGCAGAGCUGGUGAAGCUGACCACAGGCAGGAGAAAGACAUUCAGCAGUUAGUGUGGCUCACCUUUGAGAGUUUGAGGUCCAUAGAAGCCGGAAGCACUUUGUUCCAGAAUACAUUCGUCAACUCCAGAGAGACCACACCCUUGGGGCCGGAUGGAGAAGAUGGGACCGUGUUCUCUUGGAGAGCCCGGCUAGUAGGCCGAUUGGCUAGAGUUGAUUCCCAUGAGCAUUGCUGAAGUUGGGACAAACUCAAUUUUAAGUUAAGUGGAAAUAUUUUUAUUUGAGUUAAUGUACAUUGAAUCUGGUAAACACACAGAGUAUAUUACUACGCACUCUGGAAAUGUGCAGUCCGAUCAGCAAACAGAUUAGUUUUAAGUGAAAAGACACUGGCAGGCGCUUAAAUUCAUUGACUUGUUGAGAACGUCUAGAUUUGGAUACAAAUGCACUGGAACGCUACAUCAGUUUGGUGUCUCAGCCCAUCCGCACGGAGAAGCUAUUGAUUUUAGUUGAUAUGCAUUGAUUCCCAGAAAACAGGACGGCUUUUGAAAAUGAACUUCCAGUAAUUUCAGGGAGAAGCUGGCGCGUUUGUCUCCACGCGAGGCUGACUUGUUUUGUUAAACGUGUCUCUACGCCUCGAAGGAACAGAGCAGCAGACAAAUAUCUUCGUAUGAAUUAAAAUGCAUUGAUUCUUGGAGGGAAAUGAUGGUCUCUGUUAAAAGCUUUUUUGGAGAUGUUAGCACCCCUUCCUCCCUGCCUUCUGCUCUCCCCCAAAAUGGUGGCAGUUUUCAGAGCCCAUCUGAAGUUGGAGGUGGUGGCGGGUGGGUGGGGUGGAAAGGAGGAGGGACGCGUGGCACUGCCAAUCCCCUGCAGGGAUUGUGCGAGCAGGAAGCUGCUUCUCUCUGGGGAAAGGAACAUUGCAGGGGUUCAAUGUUGUCCAUCUCCUAACCAGCCAGAGACAGAUGCCCAGGUAGAAGCUGAGGGGAGGGGAGACCAAGGUUCCACUGAUAAGGAAAACCAUAAGAAGAUGAAGGGCUUGGGGGCCAAGGAUGGGUUGCAGAAAUGAGGGUGCCUAUGCCGUUUCAGUCUCUAAGUCAACGGCCUCUUGGUGUCGAAGGGGAAAUGAGUGGAAGAUAAUCACCAAAACGAUGCAGGAGGGAGUUAUCUUACUUUCUUACCUUCUGAAUGAGCUGGACAUGAACCAGAGGUGUAAUUUAGGCAUUUCUCACCCUCAUUAAUGAAUAGCUCCCAUGGGGUGUGCAGACAGCAGGGCUAGAAAAAUGAUUCCAGGAGCCAGGAAGGAAGCAAUUGGCCCGGAACUUAUUUUUCAUGUGCUGAGACUCCCUGGAUCUUUCUGGAUCAGAGCCACUUGGGACAAGUUUGAGGGUUGAUCAUGGACUUAACUCCUCAUUAGCCAUUCCUAGCUCCUUCUCAGUUGCCCGAUACACCCUGGGUGGGGGAUUAAAUCCAUCAGGGGGUGUUUGUUGGCAAAGGGUGGGCUAGAAAGUGCUGACCAGUUGCCCAGGUAGCGCUACCCAUGGGAGCUAAACGUUCUCCAAGGGUGACAGAAGGGAAGAUUGCUAAGAAAGACCUUGGAGGGAUGGUCAUCUAUGAAGCCACCUAUUUUCACCUCUGGCUGCAGCUAUUAUAAAUCAAGAGUCACAUCUAUUUACCCCGGACAGUAGAUUCUCUCCCCCUCACUUUCUUCUACUUCUCUUCACUCUCUUCCAGUUGUCCCUACUCUGCUUUGGCAAGGGGAUUGCCUAGCCUUAGAAAGAAAGGAUCAAAGCACUGGAAGGGAUUUUAUGAAUCCUUCAUCCAACCCUCAUCUGACGCUUUAUCCUGUGCCUCUGUAAUACCUUUGCAAAUAUAGUGUUGGCUUGAAUGCUCUGACCAUGGACUGCACAUCAUCUCCCAUGUGUCUUUUUCAAAUCGUUCUAGUCAGUUCCAAGAUCCCCCUGCCCCUAGCCCACCAAAUUAACACCAAACCUAAAUGAGCCUCAACCUGGUGUCUUUGGUUCCGUCCUCUGGGGUAGCACACAGGCAGUCAUAUUCUUCUCCCACAUGGAUUUCUUUAGACAUUUCAGGAUAGUUACAAUGUCCCCACUGAGGCCUCUUUUCUCCAGGCAAAACACCCUAAGUUUUUCAGCUGUUUUUAAUAUGGCAUGGUUUCAGGUCCUUCCACCAUUUUUAGGGUCAGCUGCAUAAUUUGUGUGAGUCCCCAGUGCAAAUUGAAAAUUCAGGGCCCUGAGUUUGAAAUUAUUAGAAAUUUCAAGAUGACAUGAGGACCCUUCUGAGUGACUAUAAAGAUUGCACACCCAUAAGGCAGCCUUGACCAUAGGAGACCUCUUUUUCUGGAUUUCAGUCUGCAGUGUCCUUCUAAGUGAUGUUGCAGGGUUAGUCUGUCCAGAAACAGAGUGACAGUCACUUUUUUUUUUUCCUGGAUAUAUCCAUUAGCGUUAGCAAAGCACUUGACGAUCACAUUAACUUUACUGGCAAUCAGAGCAUACAGGUGAGUCAUACUCAGCAAAUGUCUGCUCUAAAGUCUGGGUUUGAUUCAUAUCUACCAUGGCCAAGUCACCUCUCUCAUUUUUGUGCAGUUGGAAGAAUCCAUACUGGUGAACUUUGCUUUGCCUGUUAAAAUCCAUCCCAGAGCUUAACCACAUUAUUAUUUUUAGAUCAUUUUUCAUUCUUCAACCUACAGAGAAACACUUACCAAGUUCCCACUGUGUGCUAAGACAGUCAUAGGUGUUAGGAUACACCUCUGAAUAAAGCCUGACCUUGACCUUAAGGAGCUUUAGUUUAGAAAAGAUAUUUAAACAAUAAUUACAUGAAAAUGUACUAAUUCCUACAAUAGGAUCAUACUAUGGGAGUGGAAAAGAUGGGAAGUCUUCUUUUUCAAAGAAGUAGCAUUUGAGAUAGCUCUUGAAGGAUGAGCAGAGGUUUGGCACAUGGGAAAGGGAGAGGGGGGAAGCCCAGCUUUAUUGCCUGGUUUCCUCCCCAGAAACUCCUGCCUCAUUUGUUUUGGCCAUUCUUCUAGGGCAGCACCAAGGAACUUGGCCCAUGUGGUUCCUCACAGAUACCCACAGCCUGUUCCAUCUCUGAGGCCUUUCAGGCAGACCCUGUGCCUUGAUGAGAAGACAUUGCUGAAGUUUUUGCUGCAGUUUUAAUUUCUUGACAUCAUCUGGGUGCGUUGGGAAAAAUGAGAUCUAAUAAUGAAUGAUUACAACUCUCAAGUUAAGUCUAGUUGGUUGACUAAUCAAUUUGGUUAAGUGAAAAUCCAUAGCAAAUGAGUCGACCGCAGUAUGACAUUUCUCCAUCCAAUUUAAAUUAAAAUCACCAACCAUAAUAAUUUCACAAUUACUCAGGGAGGGCACACUGGAGACUUGACCCCCGGAGCAGAGAAAUUGCAAAUGCCGCAGAGGAUGGGCUAAGAGUGGGGUGAUGAGGAAGUCACUUGAGCUGAACUCUGCUUGAACUGCUCAGCCUCGUCAGCUCGUGGGGGUGGUGGGGCCACAAGAGAUGCUGAGCAGCAGUUUUAUAUUCUUGGGUGCAGUCCUGCAUCUCCUCCCCUGGGGAGACAGGAGUUUCUAGCUUCCUGGCAAGAAAGCCCACAGAUAGCUCCCCCAACAGGAGAACAGAGAGUCUCUUUUCUCCAGUCACAGGAUGAGGAAAGAGGUGAAUGUUAUCUUGGCAUGUUAAAUCCCCAAUUUAGACUAUAAAUUCCUGGACAGUGGAUGCCAUGUCUGUUUAUCUUGAGUGAAGAGUGUUAAGUGGGUGUAAUAGGCAAUUAAUAGGUUUUUGAUAAUGAGGAUGACAGAGCAAAGGAAAGGAUUAGAUUUUAUCUAAUGUGAUAAAUGUUUAUUUGCUGAAUGUCCCCUUUAUGCCAGGAGCGGUAUUAGGCACCAUGGAGUGAGAAAUGGCUUAAACAUAUAGCACUGCCUUCCAGGAGCUCAUAGCCUCUUGUGUAGCCUGAGAGAUAAACACUUAAUAUGAAUACAAGGCCAAAUGUCAUUAACGUUCAGUAAGGAACUUGAAAGAUAAGAAUGUUUUAGAUCAGGGAAUCUCAUGCAAACAUUUUGUCUGCCAGUUCCCUCAUCUGUAAAAGGCAUUUACUAGCUCACACAGUGGUCAGAUGAAGGAGGUGGCUGGUACAUGCUGCUGGUCCCUCAGCCAUUUUUCUCUCCUUCUACAGCAAUAAAACACCCAAAUGUCUGCAUGGAAUCUCGACUACAUUUCCCAGGCUCCCUUGUGUGUGUGGUCACAUGACUGAGGUCAAGGCAGUGGAAUACAAGUACAUGCAGCUUCUAGGAAGUGCCCUUAAAGGGAGGGGUCAGGUCCUCAUCUUCCCUCUGCUUCCUGCUUCCUUCCUUUGGGCAGGAAUUCAGGCUGAGUGCCUGGAGCUGG
RNAcentral lists this long non-coding RNA (4862 nucleotides) under Canis lupus familiaris (dog). RNAcentral describes it as "lncRNA (ENSCAFG00040002958.1)". The record is from RNAcentral. Lineage: Eukaryota; Metazoa; Chordata; Mammalia; Carnivora; Canidae.